AUUGAACGCUGGCGGCAGGCUUAACACAUGCAAGUCGAGCGAGCGGCGGACGGGUGAGUAAUGUCUGGGAAACUGCCUGAUGGAGGGGGAUAACUACUGGAAACGGUAGCUAAUACCGCAUACCAUCAGAUGUGCCCAGAUGGGAUUCGCUAGUAGGUGGGGUAAUGGCUCACCUAGGCGACGAUCCCUAGCUGGGCUGAGAGGAAGACCGUCCCCACUGGAACUUAGACACGGUCCAGACUCCUACGUGAGGCAGCAGUGGGGAAUAUUGUACAAUGGGCGCAAGCCUGAUGCAGCCAUGCCGCGUGUGUGAAGAAGGCCUUCGGGUUGUAAAGCACUUUCAGCGAGGAGGCGUUACUCGCAGAAGAAGCACCGGCUAACUCCGUGCCAGCAGCCGCGGUAAUAC
This 406-nucleotide ribosomal RNA is filed under the name uncultured bacterium. Its description in RNAcentral is "partial 16S ribosomal RNA". It matches the Rfam family "Bacterial small subunit ribosomal RNA", at positions 30 to 526 of the family's 1533-position model. The record is from RNAcentral.